This 465-nucleotide ribosomal RNA is filed under the name Streptococcus thermophilus. RNAcentral's name for it is "bacterial SSU rRNA". It matches the Rfam family "Bacterial small subunit ribosomal RNA", at positions 338 to 794 of the family's 1533-position model. The record is from RNAcentral. Lineage: Bacteria; Bacillati; Bacillota; Bacilli; Lactobacillales; Streptococcaceae.
CCUACGGGAGGCAGCAGUAGGGAAUCUUCGGCAAUGGGGGCAACCCUGACCGAGCAACGCCGCGUGAGUGAAGAAGGUUUUCGGAUCGUAAAGCUCUGUUGUAAGUCAAGAACGGGUGUGAGAGUGGAAAGUUCACACUGUGACGGUAGCUUACCAGAAAGGGACGGCUAACUACGUGCCAGCAGCCGCGGUAAUACGUAGGUCCCGAGCGUUGUCCGGAUUUAUUGGGCGUAAAGCGAGCGCAGGCGGUUUGAUAAGUCUGAAGUUAAAGGCUGUGGCUCAACCAUAGUUCGCUUUGGAAACUGUCAAACUUGAGUGCAGAAGGGGAGAGUGGAAUUCCAUGUGUAGCGGUGAAAUGCGUAGAUAUAUGGAGGAACACCGGUGGCGAAAGCGGCUCUCUGGUCUGUAACUGACGCUGAGGCUCGAAAGCGUGGGGAGCGAACAGGAUUAGAUACCCUGGGUAGU